UACAGGGGGGGCGAGCGUUGUUCGGAAUUACUGGGCGUAAAGGGCUCGUAGGUGGCCAACUAAGUCAGACGUGAAAUCCCUCAGCUUAACUGGGGAACUGCGUCUGAUACUGGAUGGCUUGAGUUUGGGAGAGGGAUGCGGAAUUCCAGGUGUAGCGGUGAAAUGCGUAGAUAUCUGGAGGAACACCGGUGGCGAAGGCGGCAUCCUGGACCAACACUGACACUGAGGAGCGAAAGCCAGGGGAGCAAACGGG
RNAcentral lists this ribosomal RNA (253 nucleotides) under uncultured bacterium. RNAcentral's name for it is "partial 16S ribosomal RNA". It matches the Rfam family "Bacterial small subunit ribosomal RNA", at positions 524 to 776 of the family's 1533-position model. The record is from RNAcentral.